This 515-nucleotide ribosomal RNA is filed under the name Cryptoses choloepi. Its description in RNAcentral is "partial 16S ribosomal RNA". The record is from RNAcentral. Lineage: Eukaryota; Metazoa; Arthropoda; Insecta; Lepidoptera; Pyralidae.
GUCUAAUCUGCCCACUGAUAUAAUAUUAAAGGGGUGCAGUAUUUUGAGUGUACAAAGGUAGCAUAAUCAUUAGUCUUUUAAUUGAAGACUUGUAUGAAUGAUUGGAUGAAAUAUAAACUGUCUCUAAUAUUAUUAGUUAGAAUUUAAUUUUUUUAUUAAAAAGUAAAAAUAAAUUUAAAAGACGAGAAGACCCUAUAGAGUUUUAUAAUUAAUUUAAUUGAAAUUAUUUAUAAAGAUAAUUUUAAAUUAAUAAAUUAAAAUUAAGUUAAUUAUUUUGUUGGGGUGAUAAAAAAAUAAAAAUAACUUUUUUUAAUAAAUAUAUAUAUAUAUAUAUAUAUAUAUAUAUAUAUUGUAAACAAAAAUAAAUGAUUUUUUGAUCCAGAAUUUUUGAUUAUAAGAAAAAAUUACCUUAGGGAUAACAGCGUAAUUUUUUUUUUUAGUUCAAAUAAGAAAAAGAGUUUGCGACCUCGAUGUUGGAUUAAGGAAAAAUUUAAAUGCAAAAGUUUAAAAUUUUG